UCCGUAGGUGAACCUGCGGAAGGAUCAUUACCGAGUUGAUUCGGGCUCCGGCCCGAUCCUCCCACCCUUUGUGUACCUACCUCUGUUGCUUUGGCGGGCCGCGGUCCUCCGCGGCCGCCCCCCUCCCCGGGGGGGUGGCCAGCGCCCGCCAGAGGACCAUCAAAUUCCAGUUAGUAAACGAUGCAGUCUGAAAAACAUUUAAUAAACUAAAACUUUCAACAACGGAUCUCUUGGUUCUGGCAUCGAUGAAGAACGCAGCGAAAUGCGAUAAGUAAUGUGAAUUGCAGAAUUCAGUGAAUCAUCGAAUCUUUGAACGCACAUUGCGCCCUUUGGUAUUCCGAAGGGCAUGCCUGUUCGAGCGUCAUUACAACCCUCAAGCUCUGCUUGGUAUUGGGCACCGUCCUUUGCGGGCGCGCCUCAAAGACCUCGGCGGUGGCGUCUUGCCUCAAGCGUAGUAGAACAUACAUCUCGCUUCGGAGCGCAGGGCGUCGCCCGCCGGACGAACCUUCUGAACUUUUCUCAAGGUUGACCUCGGAUCAGGUAGGGAUACCCGCUGAACUUAAGCAUAUCAAUAAGCGGAGGA
RNAcentral lists this ribosomal RNA (583 nucleotides) under Botryosphaeria dothidea. RNAcentral describes it as "eukaryotic LSU rRNA". The stretch from base 211 to 364 matches the Rfam family "5.8S ribosomal RNA". Lineage: Eukaryota; Fungi; Ascomycota; Dothideomycetes; Botryosphaeriales; Botryosphaeriaceae. The record is from RNAcentral.